AUUGAACGCUGGCGGCAUGCCUUACACAUGCAAGUCGAACGGUAACAGGUCUUCGGAUGCUGACGAGUGGCGAACGGGUGAGUAAUACAUCGGAACGCGCCUAGUAGUGGGGGAUAACUACUCGAAAGAGUGGCAAAUACCGCUUGAGAUCUACGGAUGGCAGCAGGGGAUCGCAAGACCUUGUGCUACUACAGCGCCCUAUGGCAGAUUAGGUGGUUGGUGGGAUAAAAGCUUACCAAGCCGACGAUCUGUAGCUGGUCUGAGAGGACGACCAGCAAAACUGGGGCUAAGACACGGCCAAGACUCCUACGGGAGGCAGCAGUGGGGAAUUUUGGACAAAGGGCGAAAGCCUGAUCCAGCAAUGCCGCGUGAAGGAUGAAGGCCUUCGGGUUGUAGACUGCUUUUGUACGGAACGAAAAGCCCCGGGUUAAUACCCUGGGGUCAUGACGGUACCGUAAGAAUAAGCACCGGCUAACUACGUGCCUGCAGCCGCAGUAA
This 498-nucleotide ribosomal RNA is filed under the name uncultured bacterium. RNAcentral's name for it is "partial 16S ribosomal RNA". It matches the Rfam family "Bacterial small subunit ribosomal RNA", at positions 30 to 523 of the family's 1533-position model. The record is from RNAcentral.